AUAUUCGCUGAUGAAGUACUUCGGUAAUGAAUCUUGGAUAUCUUAGUGGCGGACGGGUGAGUAACGCGUGAGCAACCUGCCUUUCAGAGGGGGAUAACGUUUGGAAACGAACGCUAAUACCGCAUGACAUUAUCUUAUCGCAUGGUAGGAUAAUCAAAGGAGCAAUCCGCUGAAAGAUGGGCUCGCGUCCGAUUAGGUAGUUGGUGGGGUAACGGCCCACCAAGCCGACGAUCGGUAGCCGGACUGAGAGGUUGGACGGCCACAUUGGGACUGAGACGCGGCCCAGACUCCUACGGGAGGCAGCAGUAAGGGAUAUUGGUCAAUGGGGGAAACCCUGAACCAGCAACGCCGCGUGAGGGAAGACGGUUUUCGGAUUGUAAACCUCUGUCCUCUGUGAAGAUGAUGACGGUAGCAGAGGAGGAAGCUCCGGCUAACUACGUGCCAGCAGCCGCGGUAAUAC
Molecule: ribosomal RNA, 460 nt
Filed under: uncultured bacterium
Lineage: Bacteria
Description: bacterial SSU rRNA
Rfam family: Bacterial small subunit ribosomal RNA
Source: RNAcentral